UUGACCUCGAAUCAGGUGGGACUACCCGCUGAACUUAAGCAUAUCAAUAAGCGGAGGAAAAGAAACUAACAAGGAUUCCCCUAGUAACGGCGAGUGAAGCGGGAAGAGCUCAAAUUUAAAAUCUGGCAAUCUUUGGUUGUCCGAAUUGUAAUCUAGAGAAGCGUUUUCCGUGCUGGACUGUGURCAAGUUUCCUGGAUACGGAACAUCAUAGAGGGUGAGAAUCCCGUCCUUGACACAGACUCCCAGUACUUUUGUGAUGCGCUCUCGACGAGUCGAGUUGUUUGGGAUUGCAGCUCAAAAUGGGAGGUAAAUUCCUUCUAAAGCUAAAUAUUGGCGAGAGACCGAUAGCGAACAAGUACCGUGAGGGAAAGAUGAAAAGCACUUUGGAAAGAGAGUUAAACAGUACGUGAAAUUGUUAAAAGGGAAACGCUUGAAGUCAGUCGCGUUUGCUUGGACUCAGCCUUACUUCGGUUUGGUGCAUUUCCUCGCAGACGGGCCAGCGUCCAUGUUGUUUGCCGGAAAAGGGGUGAAAGAAUGUGGCUCCUUUAGGAGUGUUAUAGCUUUCACUCGUAUGCGGGGAGCGAUAUGGAGUGGUACAGCACACUUCGGUGGUGCUUGUGCUGGCAUAAUGGCUUUAAACGACCCGUCUUGAAC
Molecule: ribosomal RNA, 655 nt
Filed under: Clavulina cinerea
Lineage: Eukaryota; Fungi; Basidiomycota; Agaricomycetes; Cantharellales; Hydnaceae
Description: eukaryotic LSU rRNA
Rfam family: Eukaryotic large subunit ribosomal RNA
Source: RNAcentral